RNAcentral lists this ribosomal RNA (591 nucleotides) under uncultured bacterium. Its description in RNAcentral is "bacterial SSU rRNA". It matches the Rfam family "Bacterial small subunit ribosomal RNA", at positions 338 to 916 of the family's 1533-position model. The record is from RNAcentral.
CCUACGGGAGGCAGCAGUAGGGAAUCUUCCGCAAUGGACGAAAGUCUGACGGAGCAACGCCGCGUGAACGAUGAAGGCCUUCGGGUCGUAAAGUUCUGUUGUUAGGGAAGAACAAGUGCUAGUUAAAUAAGCUGGCACCUUGACGGUACCUAACCAGAAAGCCACGGCUAACUACGUGCCAGCAGCCGCGGUAAUACGUAGGUGGCAAGCGUUGUCCGGAAUUAUUGGGCGUAAAGCGCGCGCAGGCGGUUUCUUAAGUCUGAUGUGAAAGCCCCCGGGCUCAACCGGGGAGGGUCAUUGGAAACUGGGAAACUUGAGUGCAGAAGAGGAAAGUGGAAUUCCAAGUGUAGCGGUGAAAUGCGUAGAGAUUUGGAGGAACACCAGUGGCGAAGGCGACUUUCUGGUCUGUAACUGACGCUGAGGCGCGAAAGCGUGGGGAGCAAACAGGAUUAGAUACCCUGGUAGUCCACGCUGUAAACCGAUGAGUGCUAAGUGUUAGAGGGUUUCCGCCCUUUAGUGCUGAAGUUAACGCAUUAAGCACUCCGCCCGGGGUAUACGGUCGCAAGACUGAAACCUCAAAGGAAUUGACGG